Long non-coding RNA from Cololabis saira (Pacific saury), 1256 nucleotides. RefSeq lists it as uncharacterized. The record is from RefSeq and is a predicted model, not a curated record. NCBI's taxonomy places the organism in Eukaryota, Metazoa, Chordata, Actinopteri, Beloniformes, Belonidae. The transcript is spliced from 4 exons.
UGUCUGCCCACCAGUCUGUCCAUCCAUCCAUCCCACUCUGAGUCCUGGUCUUCUCUUCCAGCCUUCCUGCAGAACUCCGGAAACCAUAAGAUGGCGGGCAUGAGUAAAGUUAAGGUCCACACGAUCACCACAGGAGAAACAUUUGGGGCAGAUAAAAGUCUGCUGGCACAACUGACAAAUGGACUAUAUGUGACGCUCACAAGCCAAGAACAAAGUGAUGUCAUCAUUGUCUUCUGUCCAAUCAGCUCUCGUGUUGGGUCAGACGUGGAUGCAGCCAUGAGGGGGGUGCCAGAAGAUAAAAAGAUCAUUCUGGUUGUGAUGCAUCACACCCGAGACGUCGACUACUCAACCGGUGGGAGAAGGUGGUCUGAGACCUUCAGUAAUGUUGUCCUGGAUGUUGAUGUCCUCUUCCAUGAAAGUCUGCCGGGACUAUUGAUCUGUGGAAGAAACGGCAAGGCUGUCCAUCAGAUACAAGCUGCUUUAACUGAACCCCAUCGCAGCUUGCUUCGGCCAAGAGUCGAGUGUAAUAAUACUUUGAAAUUGUAUUUACUAUUUAUUAUUAUUAUGAUUACUUUGAUUCUCAUCAUUAUUUACCAUUGAUCAUCAUUAAUUCUUGACAUCCAUCUUACAUCUUGCCAAGUUCAAUCUGUAAUCGUCAUGCUGCUGUUGUUAGCAAACCAACUACACGUUUGUAUUAAUCCAAGGUUGCUGAAGCGCCGCUGUCAUUUUUCUUGUUUCUUUUUCCAUCAAUUCAACAUGAUAUAUCCCACUGUAAAUGGCUGCUCUGCAAAUAUCUCUGAUGAUUUUAGCUAAAGGAGCUGUGAGCGAAGCUAACUUUUAUUUAUAGUACAUGUGUUCCCACGAGCUUCUCAAGCAGUAUGGCCGUGCCAUGUAGGAAGAAAAAUGGACUUCAAAACAACUCUUCAGGAACCAAUGGGUCACGUGACCGAGUUCUUUGUACAUUGUUUUAUACAAUAUAUGGUCUAACCCAUGACAGAAUAGCUGAGGAAAAACAGGCUGGCUAAACCAGACAUUCCUAGACACAUCCUCUUAAAACGAUUAGAUGUCGUGUUCACUGUAUUUAAAAUGUUUUAUGUAUGUAAAGUUUGUACUCUACUGUCUUGCAUACCCAGACACCUGAAUUAAGUUAUAAUGUCACUACUUAGCAUAAAAAGUGUAAUCAUGACAUAAAACCUGAAAAUUAUGAUUUGUGUCUUGAGUUAUUCCCCUAGUUGUGGAAAUGAUUGAUGUAGUAG